CUUUGGAAAUGAUUCCACAUGGUCUCCUAUUUGCUGGAAGUAAACUCUACUUUGUGUGACAACUUCUUCUGAUAGAAGUCUGAUUUUAACCCACCAGGAAGUGAGCCCACUUUGCUUCAGCAACAAAAUUUGGUGACCCAGAUGGGACCUCUGUCCCUCUGAGGUUCCAGUCCUCCAGCCACCCAGGUUCCUAACGGCUGGAGAAUGAGCAGCAGCAGCUCCUCAGGCUAACUCAUUCAUGCUACUAGGGGGCGGGGACUGGACCUCACAAGGCAGCCUCCCUUCUCUGUGCUUGUGCCACCAGCUUGACAUUGCUGCCCCGUCAGGAGACCUAGCAACCACACUGAGAACCUUGCUCAGAGGAUCUCCUGAUGGAGGGGUAUGAGUCCCUUCUAGACAAAGGAUUGCACAGCCCGGAGGAACGGUAGCCAUUCAUCUGUUGACUAGUCAUGUCUGACCUGAUAAGCUAGGGAAAAAUAUCUGCUCCUCCAUUGGUUCCUGUGAUGACAAUGCCCAUACCCAGCAGGAAACAGUUACGGAAGGUGGAGUUUCAGCCUGUGCCCCUCAAGAAUGAGGAGCAGGAUAAAAAUCUAGAGGAGGGAUUUUGUCAUCCGCGCAUUCCCUAAGCAGCUCAAAGGAAGUUUAAAGGUGCAUAACACUUCCUCGAGGUUCUCAGCGCUAUGUUGGGAAGAGAUAACCACUGUCAACCGGCCUGAACAAGACUGAGCCCCACUGCAAGGGCAGCAUUUGUGCAGACGGCCCAGAGAUGACCCAAAGAUGCCCUUCACUUCAUCUUAAUACUAAAAUCUUCAGCCCAGGAGGAGCCUAGGCCUUACCGGCAUAACAUGUGAUGUAUGUGAAAGCGUGUUUUCAGACUGCGCCUGUGCAAGCUAAUACUCGCCUCUACAUGUGAUGACAAAGCUUCCCUUUUAAAUAUUCAUUCCCCACGCAAAAGAAAAGACACCUGCUUCUCUUUGUUUGGGGAGCGACGACUUCAGAAAUGAUUCCACGUGGUCUCCUAUUUACUGGAAAUAAACUCUACUUUGUGUGACAACUACUUCUGGUGGAGAGUCUGAUUGUAACUCCCCAGGAAGCGAACC
RNAcentral lists this long non-coding RNA (1100 nucleotides) under Equus caballus (horse). Its description in RNAcentral is "lncRNA (ENSECAG00000053613.1)". Lineage: Eukaryota; Metazoa; Chordata; Mammalia; Perissodactyla; Equidae. The record is from RNAcentral.